RNAcentral lists this ribosomal RNA (2653 nucleotides) under Staphylococcus aureus. RNAcentral describes it as "bacterial LSU rRNA". It matches the Rfam family "Bacterial large subunit ribosomal RNA". The record is from RNAcentral. Lineage: Bacteria; Bacillati; Bacillota; Bacilli; Caryophanales; Staphylococcaceae. RNAcentral also lists the same sequence under 7 other names.
CCAAACCAACAAGCUUGCUUGUUGGGGUUGUAGGACACUCUAUACGGAGUUACAAAGGACGACAUUAGACGAAUCAUCUGGAAAGAUGAAUCAAAGAAGGUAAUAAUCCUGUAGUCGAAAAUGUUGUCUCUCUUGAGUGGAUCCUGAGUACGACGGAGCACGUGAAAUUCCGUCGGAAUCUGGGAGGACCAUCUCCUAAGGCUAAAUACUCUCUAGUGACCGAUAGUGAACCAGUACCGUGAGGGAAAGGUGAAAAGCACCCCGGAAGGGGAGUGAAAUAGAACCUGAAACCGUGUGCUUACAAGUAGUCAGAGCCCGUUAAUGGGUGAUGGCGUGCCUUUUGUAGAAUGAACCGGCGAGUUACGAUUUGAUGCAAGGUUAAGCAGUAAAUGUGGAGCCGUAGCGAAAGCGAGUCUGAAUAGGGCGUUUAGUAUUUGGUCGUAGACCCGAAACCAGGUGAUCUACCCUUGGUCAGGUUGAAGUUCAGGUAACACUGAAUGGAGGACCGAACCGACUUACGUUGAAAAGUGAGCGGAUGAACUGAGGGUAGCGGAGAAAUUCCAAUCGAACCUGGAGAUAGCUGGUUCUCUCCGAAAUAGCUUUAGGGCUAGCCUCAAGUGAUGAUUAUUGGAGGUAGAGCACUGUUUGGACGAGGGGCCCCUCUCGGGUUACCGAAUUCAGACAAACUCCGAAUGCCAAUUAAUUUAACUUGGGAGUCAGAACAUGGGUGAUAAGGUCCGUGUUCGAAAGGGAAACAGCCCAGACCACCAGCUAAGGUCCCAAAAUAUAUGUUAAGUGGAAAAGGAUGUGGCGUUGCCCAGACAACUAGGAUGUUGGCUUAGAAGCAGCCAUCAUUUAAAGAGUGCGUAAUAGCUCACUAGUCGAGUGACACUGCGCCGAAAAUGUACCGGGGCUAAACAUAUUACCGAAGCUGUGGAUUGUCCUUUGGACAAUGGUAGGAGAGCGUUCUAAGGGCGUUGAAGCAUGAUCGUAAGGACAUGUGGAGCGCUUAGAAGUGAGAAUGCCGGUGUGAGUAGCGAAAGACGGGUGAGAAUCCCGUCCACCGAUUGACUAAGGUUUCCAGAGGAAGGCUCGUCCGCUCUGGGUUAGUCGGGUCCUAAGCUGAGGCCGACAGGCGUAGGCGAUGGAUAACAGGUUGAUAUUCCUGUACCACCUAUAAUCGUUUUAAUCGAUGGGGGGACGCAGUAGGAUAGGCGAAGCGUGCGAUUGGAUUGCACGUCUAAGCAGUAAGGCUGAGUAUUAGGCAAAUCCGGUACUCGUUAAGGCUGAGCUGUGAUGGGGAGAAGACAUUGUGUCUUCGAGUCGUUGAUUUCACACUGCCGAGAAAAGCCUCUAGAUAGAAAAUAGGUGCCCGUACCGCAAACCGACACAGGUAGUCAAGAUGAGAAUUCUAAGGUGAGCGAGCGAACUCUCGUUAAGGAACUCGGCAAAAUGACCCCGUAACUUCGGGAGAAGGGGUGCUCUUUAGGGUUAACGCCCAGAAGAGCCGCAGUGAAUAGGCCCAAGCGACUGUUUAUCAAAAACACAGGUCUCUGCUAAACCGUAAGGUGAUGUAUAGGGGCUGACGCCUGCCCGGUGCUGGAAGGUUAAGAGGAGUGGUUAGCUUCUGCGAAGCUACGAAUCGAAGCCCCAGUAAACGGCGGCCGUAACUAUAACGGUCCUAAGGUAGCGAAAUUCCUUGUCGGGUAAGUUCCGACCCGCACGAAAGGCGUAACGAUUUGGGCACUGUCUCAACGAGAGACUCGGUGAAAUCAUAGUACCUGUGAAGAUGCAGGUUACCCGCGACAGGACGGAAAGACCCCGUGGAGCUUUACUGUAGCCUGAUAUUGAAAUUCGGCACAGCUUGUACAGGAUAGGUAGGAGCCUUUGAAACGUGAGCGCUAGCUUACGUGGAGGCGCUGGUGGGAUACUACCCUAGCUGUGUUGGCUUUCUAACCCGCACCACUUAUCGUGGUGGGAGACAGUGUCAGGCGGGCAGUUUGACUGGGGCGGUCGCCUCCUAAAAGGUAACGGAGGCGCUCAAAGGUUCCCUCAGAAUGGUUGGAAAUCAUUCAUAGAGUGUAAAGGCAUAAGGGAGCUUGACUGCGAGACCUACAAGUCGAGCAGGGUCGAAAGACGGACUUAGUGAUCCGGUGGUUCCGCAUGGAAGGGCCAUCGCUCAACGGAUAAAAGCUACCCCGGGGAUAACAGGCUUAUCUCCCCCAAGAGUUCACAUCGACGGGGAGGUUUGGCACCUCGAUGUCGGCUCAUCGCAUCCUGGGGCUGUAGUCGGUCCCAAGGGUUGGGCUGUUCGCCCAUUAAAGCGGUACGCGAGCUGGGUUCAGAACGUCGUGAGACAGUUCGGUCCCUAUCCGUCGUGGGCGUAGGAAAUUUGAGAGGAGCUGUCCUUAGUACGAGAGGACCGGGAUGGACAUACCUCUGGUGUACCAGUUGUCGUGCCAACGGCAUAGCUGGGUAGCUAUGUGUGGACGGGAUAAGUGCUGAAAGCAUCUAAGCAUGAAGCCCCCCUCAAGAUGAGAUUUCCCAACUUCGGUUAUAAGAUCCCUCAAAGAUGAUGAGGUUAAUAGGUUCGAGGUGGAAGCAUGGUGACAUGUGGAGCUGACGAAUACUAAUCGAUCGAAGACUUAAUCAA